CAGUCGAGCGGACAGAUGGGAGCUUGCUCCCUGAUGUUAGCGGCGGACGGGUGAGUAACACGUGGGUAACCUGCCUGUAAGACUGGGAUAACUCCGGGAAACCGGGGCUAAUACCGGAUGGUUGUUUGAACCGCAUGGUUCAGACAUAAAAGGUGGCUUCGGCUACCACUUACAGAUGGACCCGCGGCGCAUUAGCUAGUUGGUGAGGUAACGGCUCACCAAGGCGACGAUGCGUAGCCGACCUGAGAGGGUGAUCGGCCACACUGGGACUGAGACACGGCCCAGACUCCUACGGGAGGCAGCAGUAGGGAAUCUUCCGCAAUGGACGAAAGUCUGACGGAGCAACGCCGCGUGAGUGAUGAAGGUUUUCGGAUCGUAAAGCUCUGUUGUUAGGGAAGAACAAGUGCCGUUCAAAUAGGGCGGCACCUUGACGGUACCUAACCAGAAAGCCACGGCUAACUACGUGCCAGCAGCCGCGGUAAUACGUAGGUGGCAAGCGUUGUCCGGAAUUAUUGGGCGUAAAGGGCUCGCAGGCGGUUUCUUAAGUCUGAUGUGAAAGCCCCCGGCUCAACCGGGGAGGGUCAUUGGAAACUGGGGAACUUGAGUGCAGAAGAGGAGAGUGGAAUUCCACGUGUAGCGGUGAAAUGCGUAGAGAUGUGGAGGAACACCAGGUGGCGAAAGGCGACUCUCUGGUCUGUAACUGACGCUGAGGAGCGAAAG
Molecule: ribosomal RNA, 720 nt
Filed under: Bacillus sp. (in: firmicutes)
Lineage: Bacteria; Bacillati; Bacillota; Bacilli; Caryophanales; Bacillaceae
Description: bacterial SSU rRNA
Rfam family: Bacterial small subunit ribosomal RNA
Source: RNAcentral